UCGGAUAUGGUGUACGGUACACCGCCUCUCUUCUUGAGGGCGUCGAAAAAAUGUCAUCUGAGGCAGUCCGGGGUUCGACUCCCCGUGUCCGAA
Molecule: non-coding RNA, 93 nt
Organism: Mycena latifolia
Lineage: Eukaryota; Fungi; Basidiomycota; Agaricomycetes; Agaricales; Mycenaceae
Source: the annotation of a GenBank genome assembly